UGGGGGCCCUGAUGGAUGGAGAGGCUUUGCCUGGUUUCCUCCGUUCUGGCAGGGUGCUACAUCAUCCAUCCCGCUCCUGGUUUUAAAAACAGGUGAGGAAGCGGCGGUAGAGGAAGGGGGGCACAGACAGACGGGCAGGGCUCCGGCGAGCCGCAGGGAUGCCGCAUCAACAUGCACAGCGUCGCGCCGAUGCUGAGCAUCCCGGCGGUGGCUGGACGGCAUCGCGCUCGCCAAGAAGAGCCGCAGCAGGGACAGGUGGCAAAGCCACCCCCAAAAGCAGCGACGAAGGGGCAGCCCCCUCCCCACCCCACACCCAGGGACCCUCCUGGCUGUUUAUUCCCCCUGCACCAGCGGAUGUCUCCCAGGGAGGUCUCAGCUCAACGCAGCUCCGGUCCUGCUCCGUUGUAAUCCUCGGGGAGGGGAUGGGGACGUGGUGGCCACCCCAGCUGCCGCGUCCCCUGGCCUCAAGCAGGGGACGAGAGGAGACUGCAGAGCCCAGUUGGGGCUGGCACAAAUGCUGAGCGCCAGCGGUGCCGCUCGCCUGCCCGCCUUGCGAAUCUGGCUCAUCCUGUGGCUCCAACUAAUGUGACUUGCAUGUGUAAUUUAUUUUUAAAAGGGGAUUCUUGCUUUCUCUCUCUCCAUGCUGCCUGCUGGCUGCUCCUGGAUUUUCCAAGCAGAGGGAAGGGGAGAGGGGUAUGAAUAAAAUAUCAUCGUGACAGCUUUUAUAUAUAUACAUGAACCUGCUCCGCCAGGCUGCAAGCUUCAUUUUUAAAUAAGAAGCUCGAUUCAGUUCCCAGGAGGCCGGGAGAACGCGCCGG
Non-coding RNA from Anas platyrhynchos (mallard), 818 nucleotides. The record is from RefSeq and is a predicted model, not a curated record. NCBI's taxonomy places the organism in Eukaryota, Metazoa, Chordata, Aves, Anseriformes, Anatidae.